Small nucleolar RNA from Choloepus hoffmanni (Hoffmann's two-fingered sloth), 149 nucleotides. The record is from Ensembl. NCBI's taxonomy places the organism in Eukaryota, Metazoa, Chordata, Mammalia, Pilosa, Megalonychidae.
CUUCAGUGAAGAGAUGAUGACGAGUCUGACUGGAGGUGUUACCUUUGUCCAGGUGACCUACUCUGUGCUACGUUCUGUGGCACGGUUUUUAAGGUCCUUGGAUCGAAGUAACUUCCAAAAGAUGACCUAGAGGCAUUUGUCUGAGAAGG